RNAcentral lists this ribosomal RNA (465 nucleotides) under uncultured bacterium. Its description in RNAcentral is "partial 16S ribosomal RNA". It matches the Rfam family "Bacterial small subunit ribosomal RNA", at positions 338 to 795 of the family's 1533-position model. The record is from RNAcentral.
CCUACGGGGGGCAGCAGUGGGGAAUAUUGCGCAAUGCGCGAAAGCCUGACGCAGCGACGCCGCGUGAGGAAUGAAGGUCUUCGGAUCGUAAACCUCUGUCAGCAGGGAAGAACGGUCACUGUACUAAUCAGCAGUGAAUUGACGGUACCUGCAAAGGAAGCACCGGCUAACUCCGUGCCAGCAGCCGCGGUAAUACGGAGGGUGCGAGCGUUAAUCGGAAUUACUGGGCGUAAAGCGCUCGUAGGCGGUAUGUCAAGUCAAGGGUGAAAUCCCCGCGCUCAACGUGGGAACCGCUUUUGAAACUGGCAAACUGGAGUAUGUGAGAGGAUAGUGGAAUUCCAGGUGUAGCAGUGAAAUGCGUAGAUAUCUGGAGGAACAGCAGUGGCGAAGGCGACUAUCUGGCACAUAACUGACGCUGAGGAGCGAAAGCGUGGGUAGCAAACAGGAUUAGAUACCCCUGUAGUC